RNAcentral lists this ribosomal RNA (415 nucleotides) under uncultured prokaryote. RNAcentral describes it as "bacterial SSU rRNA". It matches the Rfam family "Bacterial small subunit ribosomal RNA", at positions 505 to 918 of the family's 1533-position model. The record is from RNAcentral.
GUGCCAGCCGCCGCGGUAAUACGGAGGGUGCAAGCGUUGUUCGGAAUUAUUGGGCGUAAAGCGCGUGUAGGCGGUUGGGUAAGUCAGAUGUGAAGGCCUUCCGCUCAACGGAAGAAGUGCAUUUGAAACUGCUCGGCUAGAGUACGGGAGAGGAGAGUGGAAUUCCCGGUGUAGAGGUGAAAUUCGUAGAUAUCGGGAGGAACACCAGUGGCGAAGGCGGCUCUCUGGUCCGAUACUGACGCUGAGACGCGAAAGCGUGGGGAGCAAACAGGAUUAGAUACCCUGGUAGUCCACGCCGUAAACGAUGGGCACUAGGUGUAGGAGGUAUUGACCCCUCCUGUGCCGAAGUUAACGCAUUAAGUGCCCCGCCUGGGGAGUACGGCCGCAAGGCUAAAACUUAAAGGAAUUGGCGGGG